CUGGUUGAUCCUGCCAGUAGUCAUAUGCUUGUCUCAAAGACUAAGCCAUGCAUGUCUAAGUAUGAAUGUUAUACAGUGAAACUGCGAAUGGCUCAUUAAAACAGUUAUUGUUUAUUUGAUAAUCAAGUUUACAUGGAUAACCGUGGUAAUUCUAGAGCUAAUACAUGCUGAUAUGCCUGACUCUUAGGAAGGGCUGUAUUUAUUAGAUAACAAACCAAUAUUCCUCGUGUCUAUUGUGAUGACUCAUAAUAACUGAUCGAAUCGCAUGGACUUUGUCCGCGAUACAUCAUUCAAGUUUCUGCCCCAUCAGCUUUCGAUGGUAGUGUAUUGGACUACCAUGGCUUUAACGGGUAACGGAGGAUUAGGGUUCGAUUCCGGAGAGGGAGCCUGAGAAACGGCUACCACAUCUAAGGAAGGCAGCAGGCGCGUAAAUUACCCAAUCCUAAUUCAGGGAGGUAGUGACAAGGAAUAACGGACUGAGGCCUACGCUUCAGGAUUGCAAUGAGUAGAAUUUAAACCCCUUUGCGAGGAUCAAUUGGAGGGCAAGUCUGGUA
RNAcentral lists this ribosomal RNA (554 nucleotides) under uncultured eukaryote. RNAcentral describes it as "SSU rRNA". It matches the Rfam family "Eukaryotic small subunit ribosomal RNA", at positions 4 to 566 of the family's 1831-position model. The record is from RNAcentral.